RNAcentral lists this long non-coding RNA (5918 nucleotides) under Sus scrofa (pig). Its description in RNAcentral is "lncRNA (ENSSSCG00035011005.1, ENSSSCG00055017882.1)". The record is from RNAcentral. Lineage: Eukaryota; Metazoa; Chordata; Mammalia; Artiodactyla; Suidae.
CAAAUGAAUUUAUCACAUCUGUACUCAAUGGUUUUAAAUGAUUUAUCUCUGGCUGAUUUUUUCAUUUCUUUUUUAUUAUUACACUGCUUCAUCACAGGGAUAUUUAUGAUAUUGUGACAUUUUACACAUUCAAUAACUUUUAAUCUAAGGAUCAUUAUUUCCAUAAGAACAACUGGUAAUUCCGAUUAGGAUAUAUUAGGUAUUGACUAGGAGUAGAAAUCUCUAGCUAUCCAAAUAUAUAGAGGAUGAGUGUGUACUAAACAGAAAAUGCUCUAAUAUUUAUUUUUAUUGUUUCCAGAGUCCAUAGUCCAAAACACAUGCAUUCAAACUGUGAGUACAUGGUACCUUACAGAAUAUGAAAUUCAACAUACUAACUGCAGGAACAUACAGGAAUGCAAUUCUACCAAAUAGCAUUAAAAUAGCUUAUUUAAUUGAAGUAAGAGAAGGAAUGGGAGGUUAAAAUUCACUCUAAAUUAUUUAUGUAAACUUUUAUGUAAUUAAUCUAAUUCAGAACAAUCUGUAAGAAUGGCCUUCUCUCCCCAUUACAUUUGCACCCUGACCCAAAAGUAUGGCAGUUCUCUAAUAAAGGAAGUACAUAUGAAGCUAUAAUUCCCUAGUAAAAUCUCAAUUUUCCUUCUUUAGAAUGUGUUGACAAACAAUAUGAAAUGAUUACUGCUCAGUUAAUCAUUAAAUGAUUAACCUACUCAAACUUUUGAUAUUUGAAAUUUUCUUAGAGUACACAUAUAUUUUUUAAUAAAAUUAAAUUUACUGAAAUACACUUAUCUAAGAAUUAGAAAACUUAACUAAUCUUUACAAUCAAUGUUUUAUGAUAUGUAAAUAAAAUUUGAUGAAGUUAGUUAUAAUUUCACAGGUCUUUCUCAGACUCAGGUUUUCCUUUGAUUACACAUAGCAUACCUGCCUUGUUACCUACCACUAUCUUUGUACAGUAGAUUUUGAAACCAGACAACAGAUUUAAAGAUAUAUUUCAAGUGAACUUACUGCAUACCAAAUUAGUAGCAAGUUUUCUUGUGUCAGGAUCAUUUAAAAGUUUUCCAACUUGUAAUAAGGGUUAGGGAAAAUAUCAAACAAAUAUGGCAAAACAUUGAUGGUUUUUCACUUAGAUAAUGGGUUUACAGAGUCUUGAACACUUUGCCAGGACUUUUUCCUUCUUAUAAAGUAAAAAGAGAAAAUGUGACUAGUAUCAUGGAUGGAAAUAUACUACCUGAAUAAACUGACUGUAAUCUAGAGAAAGAAGUUCAGUUACUACUUUGUCUCUCGUCUUUUCCAUUCUUUUUCAAUUGUUACUUUUGGGAACAAGUCAAAGAAAAAUAUUUGAAUUCAAGUCCUCUUGUGGCUAAGUGUACCAAUGGAAAAAAGAGAAUUGAGGAGUCUUUAAAUAAUUGGAACCAGUAAAUUAAGGCCACAAAAACUUAUUCUUCAUUAAGUGACUAAUCUUUUUUUGUUCUUAUCUGAAACUGUGGAUAAUUGACUUGAUGAGUACUAGCAUGCCUGGUAGCUACUGCCAGGAACAAUAAACACUCUGGUAUAAUUAUAAUUUGGUCACCUCUUAUCAAGGGAUUAUUAUAAAUUUCUUCCUUUUGCAAGUUUUAAUUAAUUAACUUUUAGAGAAUUAGGAAGUAUAUUUUCCAGUAUUUUCUACUAAAGGACAAAAAGAGGAGAUGGAAGAUGACUUGGAGUUCCUAAACAUGUAGCCUCCAUUGUCAUGAGUUUAUACAGUCUACACAUUCAAAUGAAUGUUUUGUCUUCUAAGUAGUUACUCUGGGAGACAACAUGAUAUUUUUGAAGUUCACAUUCCUUUGGAAAUAAAUUUAUUUUCUAUGUAAAAUAUUUCUAAUAUGAUCAAAGGGGCAAAUUCUCAUCAUGAUUUUGGCUUCUGAAAAUAAAUAAAAGUUAGUAAUUUGUGUUAAGCCCAAUGAAUAAGAUGAAUGGACAAACCUAGUAACUGAGACCUAAGUGAAAGACAAAUGCUACUGUAAAUAAAUGGGGCUUAUUAUCUUUCACGUCAUGUGAUUUGAGUCUGGAAUUACACCCAGGACUAGGCUGUUAGCAAAUAUAUGGCAUCACUUAAUGAUUAAGCUUAAUGGAACACAGACAUAGAAGGAAAAAUAAAUAAAAUUGCCACAUUUUUCUUGACCCCAAUUCUAAAAUAUUAUCUUCUCAUGUCAAUAUCUAUCUACUAGUGUGGAUAAGAGUAUGCCUGAGGAAGACAACGCAGAACUACAGUCAUUUCUAUACCCAGCAGCAUAGGAAUUUAUACUUUUUUAAAAUUAUUUUUAGUCCAAUGGUUCUGUCUUGUGGGUUGCAAGAUCUGCUACUACACAGAGCCUCUAUCCAAAAGAAGCAACCACAUUAUUCUUUAAAUAUAUAUAUCUCAUAUAUAUAUAUAUAUAUCACAAUAACCCAAAAUCUCUGGUGGAAAACCAAAGCAUUUCAAAGGGAUAAGUUUAUAGUGAUAGAAACCUAAAAUUUUAAAUAAGCAGCAUUACCUUACAACUAAAGGGAUUAGAUAAAGAAGAACAAAAACUAAAAAUUAAUGGAAGAAUAUUAAGCAUCGAAACAGAAAUAAAUGAUAGAGACCCUAAAAAUACAUAGAAAAUAAUCAAUGAAGCUAGGAGCUCUUUCUUUGAAAAGGAAAAUAAUAUUCAUAAAGCUUUAGUUAGACUCAUCAAGAAAAAACGGAGUUCCUGCUGUGUCUUAAUAGGUUACUAACUCAACCAGUAUACAUGAGGAUGCAGAUUUGAUCCCUGGCCUCACUCAGUCAGUGCGUUAAGGAACUGGUGUUGCCCUGACUGUGGCAUAGGCCAUGAGCUACACCUCCAAUUCAAUUCAACCUCUAGCCUGGGAACUUCCAUAUGCUGCAAAUGCAGUCUUUAAAAAAAAAAGAAAAAGAAAAAGAAAGAAAGAGAAAGAGGGGUUUACAAUAAAACAAAGCAAAAACAAUAAAACAAAAUAAUAAAAUUGAAAAUGAAGAGAUUGGGGGUUGGAGCAAGAUGGCAGAGGAAUAAGAAGUCACGCUCAACAUCUCCCACAAACAUAUCAAAAAACACAUCUACAUGCAAAAUGAGAACAUCAACACAGAACAUCAACUGUAUGCUGGCAGAAGAACUCAAACCUCAAAAAAGCGCAAGAAACUCUUGACAUAACUGGGUAGAACAAAAGAAAAAAAGAGAAAGAGAGAGAUAGAAAAUGAAUCAGGACUGCACUAGCAUUCCAGAGAGGGAGCUAUGAAGAAGAAAAUGAACCCACACCCUGGGAAGCCACCUAAUGGACAGAAAGAUUAGCCAAGCUGGAAGGACCUCAAAGUCACCGAGAAAAGUGCAGCAGUAGGUCUGAGAAAGGAAAAGCAGAGUGAGGGCUGCACAGAUCAUCUGAACCACUGAUACAGACACCAUGGCCUGAGACACCCUUGUGGGCUGGGUGCUGAGACUUAGGCUCCAGAGGUUAGUCCCCAGAAGAGGGCUAGUGUUGGCAGUGUGGAGAAAGCCUAAGGGGCUAAGGAGCAGAGCAGGACAGGUGGGGGAGCGGUACACUAUGGGCUGGGGAGUGGAAAGCUAUGGCAGAGGGAACCCAGGAGAAGGUCCAGACCUGCAGGAGAGGCAAGGUGCCAUUGUUGGGAAGGACGAGAAGAGGAGGGGCAGACCGCACUAGGAAAUAAUUUGUGACCGAGUGUGCACAUAUGCCCAUGGGCUUACAGAGGGUGAGGCAGUGCUGGUGCAGGCCACCCAGGGACAGAAGCUGCUUGCUUGCCUGUGGGAGACUGGGCAUCUCCAGUGCAGCCCGCCCAUGACCAGAAGCUGCUUCCUAGUCUGCGACGGACUGCACAUCUCUGGCAUGGACUUCCAGAGGCCGGAAGCUGCUGCUAGCCCAGAGUAGACUGGGGAUCUCUGGCGCAGGCCUCCUGUGGCUGGAAUGGCCAGGCACCUCUAGUGUAGGCUAAGGGCAUCAGGGAGCCAAGUGUGACAUGGUGCCUACAAAGCACCAUAUGCUCUUGCUCUCACAACCCUGGGAACACACUCACCCUGCAGGUGCCACUGCCAAACGCUCUGGGCAGUGCCCAGACACUUUGUCACUAUCUCUUCCCAAGACCAUACAAUUAGGAGCAGCAACUGCAGCACCCCCUGUGAAGUCUAAGUGGGACAGGGUGCUUCUUGCAUGGCCUUCAGGUGAAGGGAACAAACCACCACAGUUAUCUGUGACUCCAGAGGUAGGUGUGGCCCAUCACUGGGGAUACCUCAACAAAAAUCACUCGUAGCCUCAGCCACCUCAGAGGGCAUCACAGAGAAGGACAUUAUGAUGGAACACCAACUGAUGUUGCCAUUGCUCACGUGGGGGAACACCCCCCUGUUGAUGCCACUGCCAAAUGUUCUGGGCAGUGCCCAGAUGCUUGAUCACUGUCCCAUCUCAGGAAUAUGCAACUAGGGGCAACUUGUGCAGCACACCCUGUGGGGGCUAAGCAGGAUGAGGUGCUUCUUGCAUUGCCUACAGGAGGUGGGGCCAAACCACCACUGUUAUCUCUGGCUCUAGAGGUGGGAGUGGCCUGUCACCAUAAACAUGCACUGCUUGUAGCCCCAAUCGCCUCAAGGGCACCACAGAGGAGGGCAUUGUGAUUGAAAACCACAUGUUAGUGCUCUCACACCCCUGGGAGCACACCAGCCAUGCUGCUGCCACAGCUGAAUGCUCUGGGAAGUAAUCAUAUGCCUUAUCUCCGUCACUUCCCAGGAUCCUACAACUAGGAACAGCCUGUGCAGCACCUCCUAUGUGGGCUAAGUGAGGCAGAUCGCUUCAUGCAUGGUCUAUACAUAGUGGGGGCAAACCACCACAGUUAUCACUGACUCUAGAGACAGUCAUGGCCUGUUAGCACUAGGGGCCCCUGAACAGGCACCACUUGCGGUUCCAAUCACUUCAGAGGAGGGCAUUGCAAACAAACACUAGCCAUUGUGGUUCUCUCUCCCCUGGAAAAUCAUGAACACUGCUGCUGCUACUGCCAAAUGCUCUGGACAAUUUGUAGAUCUGCCUAGAGCUCAUAACCACUUCCUGGAGCCCUGCAACUAGGAGUAGCCAGUGCCACCUUCCUUCAGGUCUUUGUUGCUGUUGAGAGCCCAGCAACCAGGCACCAACUGCUGGCCCUACCCAUUGCCUUCUUCUCCCUGAAAACACACUGAGCACCUGGGAGAUGACAACCUGCUCACACUGAAGAAAGAAACACCAAAUAUUCAAAUUCCACACCAAAAACAAAUAGUAACCCCACCAAAAAAAUACAAAGGGGUGCUCUUGCCUAUAAGUGGCCUUACAAGACUACAGUUGGGCUUCUGCAAACUCACAGAAAAAGAAAAACAUAAGCAAGAUGAAGAAGAUCAUAAACCAUUUCCAGUUAAAGGAACAGGAGAAUUCACUAAAAUUACUGAAAAAUGAAACAGAUCUAUGCAGUCUGACAGACAUUGAGUUCAAAAGGGAGAUAGUGAAAAUACUGAAAGAAUUAGGCUGAAUAUCAAGGAACCAGGAGAAGACAAGAACAGUAAUGCCAAAUCCCCUAGAAUGGAAUUAGAAAAUAUAAGGAGGAGCCAAGAAAAGCUAGAAAACACAUUUGCAGAGAUGCAAACUGAGCUAAGGGCAAUAAAGAGCAGAUUGAAUCAUGCAAAGGGACGAAAUGGUGAUGUAGAAGAUAGAAUAAUGGAAAUCACCCAAUCAGGACAGUAGACAGAAAAGCAAAUGAAAAAACAUGAAAGCAAUAUAAGAGCCCCAUGGGAUAAUACAAGGUGAGCCAAAAUACAAAUAAUAGGAAUUCCAGAAGAAUAAGAAAAAGAAAAGGGGAUUGAAAAUAUAUUUGAAGAAAUUAUGUCUGAAAACUUUCCAAAUCUAAAGGAAACAAAUUUCAAGAUACAAGAAGCACAAAGGCC